CAGCCCUGUAGGAGACACCUCCAGAGAAAGUAACAGCUCUCAAUUGAUUAGCUGAGAAGCCUCAGGGGCUGGAUCCUGACAUGAACCAGACACCUCCAGAAUUCUAUCCCAAGCAAAAGAUUAUUUCAAGGCCAGAACUCACUCCCUGCUGGAGACUGACUACAAGAUCCACUGAGAUUGAUGUGUAACCUGAUUGGGCCCACAGUGAUGCUAGCCCCUUCACCAGAUGGAACAAUAAUUCCAGACAAGCCAUCAGAGCAGGUCACACCACUUGACACCUUCUCGCCCCCUUGCCUCUCCUGCAUUCCAAACCCCUCUCUUUAAAAUCCCCAUGUUCCCUCCGUAAACUGGGCAGUGCCAAUUGUUGGAAAGAAUUCUGGCACUCUUUUCCUUCUUAGCAUGGAUAAAAAGAUUCACCCUCUUUUUAUCACACCUCACUCUUGUUAUUUUGGCUUCUUUCUACAAGUGGUGAGCAACCGGGCCCCCUUUGCUGGUUAUAGUAUGAACUAUUUUAUUUUUUUUAAUCUACAAUAAAAUAAAAUACAUUCAUUAGAUUUCAAAGUGGUGUUUAAUGGUUUAAGAAAAA
RNAcentral lists this long non-coding RNA (586 nucleotides) under Homo sapiens (human). Its description in RNAcentral is "non-protein coding lnc-FTCDNL1-4:42". Lineage: Eukaryota; Metazoa; Chordata; Mammalia; Primates; Hominidae. The record is from RNAcentral.